CUGGUAUUUACUGAAUGAACUGGAUACUUUUCACCACUGGAAAGAACUGGAUCAGUUCAUCAGUCCGUUUUUCCUGAACGGUGUCUUUAGACAUGACCAGAAGCCCUUCGCCGACUUUGUUGAUGAUGUGAAAGGUUACCUUAAGAGCAUAAAGGAGUAUCAAGUAGAGGAUGACAAUUUGGAGAAGUUGGACGGAUGUAUAUAUAGACACUUUGGGCACGUUUUCGCCCUUCCAUUCGGACCCAGGUCGGUUUACAUAAAACCAUGUUAUUAUAAUAGCUUCUAACAAUGAUACAGUUAAUGAUAAAAUGCAUAAUAGCAUUUUAUUUUAUUUUUUAAUACUUUGAGCUUCUUGGAAGGUUACUGUUUAUAAGAGACAAGCUUUAUUGACAAUGAAAUUCAGAAUAAAUUGAAAGACAGAGUUUUAAAAUUAUAACUAUUGCAAACUGAAAAAAAAUCCAUGUCAAUCACUUAGACUUGAACAAAUGAUUAAAAAUUAAAGGGUAUAUAAACUUUUUUUUUUUUUUUUGGUUCUUUUUUUUCGGAGCUGGGGACCGAACCCAGGGCCUUGCGCUUCCUAGGCAAGCGCUCUACCACUGAGCUAAAUCCCCAACCCCUAAGGGUAUAUAAACUUAAUUGAGCCAAUCUAGCUUCUUUCAGUAUAGUUUAUAUAAUUAGGUGAAAUUAUUUACUUUUAAUCUUUGACUUAGGAAGCUAGAAACAAAGACUUUAACGUAAAGCCCAGGUCAUGUGGAGCUGCCUACCUGCAGUCACUGUCAGUUUCGUUGAGUUCAGGAGCACUCAGUGCAGCCUUACUCCUGAGAAGGGUGCUGGGUGCUCAGAGCCACACAGCCCCACAAUGUUCUUCAAGACUGUGUCGUUGUCCUUCAGCCUUUCCUUCUGUAACUGUAAAUGUCUGUUACUCUGAGAGUCAAGUUCCGUCUUCAUAAUAAAUGCAAUGUGCCUAUAAAAUAAUGAG
Molecule: long non-coding RNA, 979 nt
Filed under: Rattus norvegicus (Norway rat)
Lineage: Eukaryota; Metazoa; Chordata; Mammalia; Rodentia; Muridae
Description: long non-coding RNA NONRATT028716
Source: RNAcentral